This 428-nucleotide ribosomal RNA is filed under the name uncultured archaeon. RNAcentral's name for it is "bacterial SSU rRNA". It matches the Rfam family "Archaeal small subunit ribosomal RNA", at positions 474 to 903 of the family's 1478-position model. The record is from RNAcentral.
UACCUGCAGCUCGAGUGGUAACCGCUAUUAUUGGGCCUAAAGCGUCCGUAGCCGGUUUGGUAAAUAUCUGGGUAAAUCGUGAGGCUUAACUUCACGAAUUUCGGAUAGACUGCCAGACUUGGGAUCGGGGGAGGUCAGAGGUACUCCAGGGGUAGCGGUGAAAUGUUGUAAUCCUUGGAGGACCACCGGUAGCGAAGGCGUCUGACUAGAACGAGUCCGACGGUGAGGGACGAAGCCCCGGGGCGCAAACCGGAUUAGAUACCCGGGUAGUCCAGGGUGUAAACAAUGUGGGCUUUGUAUUGGAGAUCCCACGUGGGUGUCCAGUGCAGAAGAGAAGUUGUUAAGCCCACCGCCUGGGAAGUACGGUCGCAAGGCUGAAACUUAAAGGAAUUGGCGGGGAGCACAGCAACGGGAGGAGCGUGCGGUUU